RNAcentral lists this ribosomal RNA (432 nucleotides) under uncultured bacterium. RNAcentral describes it as "partial 16S ribosomal RNA". It matches the Rfam family "Bacterial small subunit ribosomal RNA", at positions 338 to 795 of the family's 1533-position model. The record is from RNAcentral.
CCUACGGGAGGCAGCAGUAAGGAAUAUUGGUCAAUGGGCGGAAGCCUGAACCAGCCAUGCCGCGUGCAGGAAGACGGCCUACGGGUUGUAAACUGCUUUUGCAGGGGAAUAUGUACCUUGAGAAUAAGGAUCGGCUAACUCCGUGCCAGCAGCCGCGGUAAUACGGAGGAUCCAAGCGUUAUCCGGAUUUAUUGGGUUUAAAGGGUGCGUAGGUGGCUUUUUAAGUCAGGGGUGAAAGACGGUAGCUUAACUAUCGCAGUGCCUUUGAUACUGAAGAGCUUGAAUGAACUAGAGGUAGGCGGAAUGUGACAAGUAGCGGUGAAAUGCAUAGAUAUGUCACAGAACACCAAUUGCGAAGGCAGCUUACUAUGGUUAAUUGACACUGAGGCACGAAAGCGUGGGGAUCAAACAGGAUUAGAUACCCUUGUAGUC